UGCUUUUUUUGUUGUCCCGGGGGGCUUUCCGGAGAAAACUUAAAAAGUUUGGGGUGCUUGGCGGGAUAGGAUGGCUAAAAAGAUGCUUCUUAUAAGAUUUUGGAGAUGGAGCACCAACAGCAGAGAAGGCUGCUUAAUUAUUCGCCUCAACUGAGGAAACAUCCGCCCCGUCACCUUUAUGAUUGUCCUCCGAUUAACAGCUCUCUCAUGAGGCGGUUUGUGGUGGAGCAUGGUUGUUAGUAGGUGGAGGAGUUAUUCGGGUUAAUAAUAAUGAUUACGAAGGAUUUUUCGUGCUAAAAAAUAGUCCCCUCCUCCGCUGUGCUCCCGGGGGAGGCGUCACUCACCUCUUUUCGGGGAGGUGUUGUCGUUGCCCGGCGUGUCCGGCGCAGGUAUUUACUUCUUAGAGGGACAAGCGGCUCGGCAGUCGCACGAAAAUGAGCAAUAACAGGUCUGUGAUGCCCUUAGAUGUCCGGGGCCGCACGUGCGCUACAAUGACGGUUUCAGCGAGUUAGGGAUCCUGGCCCGAAAGGGUUGGGCAAACUACCCAUCAUCCUUGUGACCGGGAUCGGGGCUUGCAAAUGUUCGCGGUGAAUGAGGAAGACCUGGUACGUGCUUGAUCUUAUCUUACACCGAUUUUCAUAAGGCCCUUUGUGGUUUGACCGGCAGUCUAGGUGUGGGGAAUGGCAGCCCAACGACCUUCUCCUGUCCAUCCACGCACCUACCUGGCACACUUACCAGUUACCUGUUCUAGGGAGCAGAGUAGCGCAGUCCGAAGUUAAAAACUU
This 785-nucleotide ribosomal RNA is filed under the name Bivesicula sp. IMP2. RNAcentral's name for it is "bacterial SSU rRNA". The stretch from base 118 to 637 matches the Rfam family "Eukaryotic small subunit ribosomal RNA", at positions 1171 to 1648 of the family's 1831-position model. The record is from RNAcentral. Lineage: Eukaryota; Metazoa; Platyhelminthes; Trematoda; Azygiida.